RNAcentral lists this long non-coding RNA (559 nucleotides) under Gopherus agassizii (Agassiz's desert tortoise). RNAcentral describes it as "lncRNA (ENSGAGG00000009646.1)". Lineage: Eukaryota; Metazoa; Chordata; Testudines; Testudinidae. The record is from RNAcentral.
AUCCUGUGCUUGAGCUGUUGACUGAUUUUUAAUCUGACCAGGAAAUCAGCUUCGAUUUGCCUCCCUAGCCCUCUUCUGUCAUCAGGUUCGUUAGCCCAAAGAAAAUGUACCAGGAUAAGAUCUCCCUCCUUGCGUCGUGGUGAGUGUGUGUGUGAAUUGGAACUAAAGGAUAGCAACUGGACAGCUAUCCUCGCAUGAAGUUUCUCAAUACAUGUGCUUCUCCAUGCCAGCUGAGAUCAGAAGUGGGAAAGCUACCGUCACAAGGUGAUUGACUCGCUAAGGAGAGAUGGAUCUGAGACCCACAUGUGACACAGCCAACACUCCUCUCCUGAUGGUGAAAAUGAAGGCCAUAUGACCCAGUCAGGUAUCUGGCAUAGAUGAGGUUGAGGUCUGGGGACAGACUUUUGGAUGAAGUAGAGGCCUGAGUUAGAGGCAAUGCAGGACGGAGUCCUUGAGACAACAGGGGAGAAAGGACGGAGGUGGUAUGACCUCACCUCCAAAAAGGCUAAAAGAUUGUUAUGAAGUUUUUGUUUUGAGUUCUGUUUUUUGAAAGACUGUU